GUUCUAAUAUGGGGAAAUUCCAGACCCAGGCAGACCUCAGAGAGAUUUUGGGUUUGGUUCCAGACCACUGAAAUAAAGUGAAUAUUGCAAUAAAGCAAGCCACACAUGUUUUUUGGUUUCCCAGUGCAUAUAAAAGUCAGACUACUGUAAUCUCUUAAGUGUGACACAGUGUUAUACCUAAAACACAUUCACACCUUCAUUUAGAAAUACGCUACUGCUAAAAAUGCCAGAACAAUCACAAGAGGGGCCGCAAAGAUCACCAACCACAGGUCACCGUAACAAAUAUCAUAGCACUAAGAAUAAUAAAGAUUGAACUGUUGUGAGGCCUGCCCACGUCUGACAGAGACAUGACGGGAGCCAAUGCCAUCGCAAAAAUGACACCUGGAGACUUGCUCUUCCCUUCGGUCCGUAAAACACGUGUGUCCACAAAGCCCCACAAAGCGAAAGCCAAUAAAAUGAGGUGACAUGAAGUCACUCUUAAACUCCGGUGCAUGACCAGUGAUAACGUCGCUUCCAAGGCUGCUUGGAGCAGAGACCGGGAUGACACGGGCCUAGGAACUGAGCCGUGACAGUGACCAAGGCAAACGGAGCUUUAGGGAGAAGACACAGCCUCCUCGAAGACAACAGUCUUGCAAGCUUGAAGGAGAGGCUGGAGAAGCCCCAGCGGGAAGAGAGCAGGUGGAAGGCACGGGGAAGGGGGGAAAGGCGGCAAAGACACCGUCCUCCCCGCUGGACAUUUAGGCUACAGACCAAGGAGCUAGGCUAACGAGGUGUAAGUACAGCCCCGCAAAGUUGCAGUGGAGAGUUAAUGAGUCAAAAGAAAAGUCGCAAGGAAACCCCAGCCCCUGGUGGUUGGUCUUCACCGCUCACAACGUGUCACAUGUGGCCUUAGGCUUUCACGGGAAGUACCUAGAGUCCCCUCGACCGAGAAGCACGAUGUUGAGAGUUUCGCGUGGAGGACCAAAAAGCCUUAAAGAGAAGGACUUCGGACCGUCUGGCUCAACGACAAGUGAACACGGUGUCAUUGUACAUGUGGAACCUGAAAUACUGAGUUUCUUUGUACAUCAGAACUAAAUAUCCCGUUUUACUGCUGCAUCCACUGCUGAUGUCUUUGAAGCCUUGCAAGAAGAAAAUCACUACCUUACGAGCAGUCUUAACUGAAUCAGCUAUUUUGCACCAAUCAAAAAUGUAUCUAUUUUUAUCAGGAUACAAAAAAAAAAAAAAAAAAAAACCCCAAUACGUCUAUAAGUAAUACAAAGUUGAGGAUACAGGUGCUAAUUGAUUGACAUCCCCUAAGAGCACCGCCUCCCACCUCCGCACACCCUGGUCUGACGUCCAAUUUUAAAUUAAGACUGGUAGAUAAAUUCUAUUUUCUGUAAUUUCAUUCAGCUCUAGGCCCGAGUUGUUUGGGAGCUACUGGCCUGAGGCACUAAGAUUCUCAUCAAAGGGACAGACUAACGAGGGUUUCUUUCCAAGAUCAAAGCAUGUCUUUGUUUCUGGGUGAUUACUUUUCUUUUAACGGCGGUGUUUAUUUUUGUACACAUGGUCCUUUUUGUUUGUUAUCUAAGAUGUUGUGAAAAUAUUGCUGCCAGGACUUCAGCGCCGAGUGGGACCCUCUCGGCCUCAGUUUCUCUGGGCGUCUGUUCUGGGCUCAACUGACCUGUGGGGACGGGACUCCCCGCCCUCCCGCCUGGCCCCUGGGCCGUCUGCCACCCACCUCUUCAGCUAUCAAAGGCUCUUUGGCCAGAGCGGUAUGUUUUGGUUUCAUCUCCAGGUACUUUGGACUCGGGAAUGUUUGGCAGGAGAGAGAAAAACAGAAAAGGUCAGUUUCACUUGAGGCCCCAUGAUGCCAGCGGUCGUUUCCCACAAGUGACCCGGCUCUGACUCAGCUUUCACUUUUCUUGUGACGGCGUCUCUGAUGGCAUCCACAUUCCAGAUCAGCCGGCGAGGGAGCAGCGCGAAUCUUGGCAUCCACACGGCGGAUGCUCAGCCUCCAGCCGGGCCAUCUCCUGCCGCCUGUCUUUUCCCCGCAGGGGUGCAAGCUGGCAGGUAGACCCGGGGGCCCCCAGUUUUG
This 2074-nucleotide long non-coding RNA is filed under the name Sus scrofa (pig). RNAcentral's name for it is "lncRNA (ENSSSCG00030073597.1)". The record is from RNAcentral. Lineage: Eukaryota; Metazoa; Chordata; Mammalia; Artiodactyla; Suidae.